UUUUAAUUAGAGUUUCAAAAUAUUAUUUAAUUGGUUAAAUAUUAACAAAUUAUUUAUAUUAAAAUAAUAUAAUAAAAUAUUUAAUAAUAAUAAUAAUAAUAAUAAUAAUAAUAUAGGAAAUUUUAGUAAAUUAUAAUAAAUUUAAAUUUAAAAAUAAAAUAUCACACGUCUCAAAGUUUGAGGACUAAAGAUAUAAUUUAUACUAAAAA
RNAcentral lists this long non-coding RNA (209 nucleotides) under Ananas comosus (pineapple). RNAcentral describes it as "long non-coding RNA (ACOM_LNC015610)". The record is from RNAcentral. Lineage: Eukaryota; Viridiplantae; Streptophyta; Magnoliopsida; Poales; Bromeliaceae.